RNAcentral lists this ribosomal RNA (250 nucleotides) under uncultured bacterium. RNAcentral's name for it is "partial 16S ribosomal RNA". It matches the Rfam family "Bacterial small subunit ribosomal RNA", at positions 524 to 773 of the family's 1533-position model. The record is from RNAcentral.
UACGUAAGUGGCAAGCGUUAUCCGGAAUUACUGGGUGUAAAGGGUGUGUAGGCGGCUUUUUAAGUCCUGUGUUAAAUCCCACGGCUUAACUGUGGGCUUGCGCGGGAAACUGGAAGGCUUGAGUAGAGGAGAGGUAACUGGAAUUCCUAGUGUAGCGGUGAAAUGUGUAGAUAUUAGGAAGAACACCAGUGGCGAAGGCGGGUUACUGGCCUCUUACUGACGCUGAGACACGAAAGCCGGGGGAGCAAAC